UCAGACGCUUGCUGAAAACAUCUCAAAACAAGUGGAGCACUGUGAGUAUGACGGUUAAACUUCUCACGUCAAUAAGCCCGGGCUAAACUAGGCUAACUUUGUUAUAGGUAGUUUAGUGCUCUUCAUUAUGGGGCGACGUUUGUAAACUGAAUCAUGCUGAAAUUAAUGGCAACAUUUUUCCACAUUUAGCUCAAAACCUUACAAAAACAUGUUUUUUCGAGUCAUUUUUUACAGAGUGCCUUAUCUGAGACUUUAACAUGCUUAUGGCGGAGUGUAACAACUCUGGAAGAGCAGUGCACGGUCUGGACAGAGGGACCUUCCUAAGCAUGCUGCACAGGAUCUUUGGGCUGACUGAUGACAGGAUCACGGGUAGAGUACCACUUACUUUUGCACCCUACUGUUGCCUUCUCAGCUGUCUUGAGAUAUGUUGGUGCCAUCAAAUUCAAACUAUUAGGAGACCCUCCACAUGACAGAAGAUCGCAUCCAGAACAUGGACCUAGCAGACCGUGAGCUGUAUGAGCGUCGGGAGGCAGCCUUUGGCCAGCUGGAGGAGCUCCGCUGGAAGCCCUGGCGUGCUCCUGACUAUGAUCGUAUCGUCUAUGGUACUCGUGUACUUAAGCCCUGUGUUUUUCUUUGGUCUUUGGUCCUCCACAUGACACAAACAGAGCUAAUAUUGUUUUUGAAAUAGUAAAAUGUCAAUAAAAUGGUGGCAAGUAAACUAAAUCUCCAAAUUAUCAACAACAAUUCAACAAUUUCUUCAGUACGAACAAUUAAAAUCUAA
Oreochromis niloticus (Nile tilapia) is the source of this 781-nucleotide long non-coding RNA. RefSeq lists it as uncharacterized. The transcript has 3 exons. The record is from RefSeq and is a predicted model, not a curated record. Lineage: Eukaryota; Metazoa; Chordata; Actinopteri; Cichliformes; Cichlidae.